CCCCUCCUCUUCUUGUGUGGAACCUAGGAUUCGAGCUGUGGGCAGAAAGUGCUCUAGCAGGGACUCUGGCUUUGAAAGAGUCCCUUUUUCCUCCUUUUCUUCCUUUACACCCAAUAAAACCUGUCUUACCCUUCAAACUGUCUGCACGCCUGAAUUUUUAUGGCUGUGGGACAAAGGACCUCAUCUUUAGCUGAACUAAGGAAAAAGUCCUGCAACAUUUUUGGCGUGCAACGUAGGGACUUGAGAAGCGGUCAUCAAACUCCAAGUGGCCAUGCAACCAGAGCCUCUGAUGAUGGCCCCUUCUGCUGGGAACCUUACACAGGCCUCUGAGGGAGCUUUAACUGCCGUUUCCCCAAAACAGCACCCCUGUCAGCAGGAAGCAGUUAAGAUCGGUCUUCAUACUUAUCCUUAUUCUAAGGGCAGUUGGAUGUGCUUCUUUAGAGGGGCGAAUGAGGCAGCCAAGUGGGAGGGGGUCCCUGGAAAAACUCCAACCAGCCUGCACACUGGGGUGGAGCCUUGGGAAGUUCAUGCCAUUUGCAACAGGGAGGUGCCUGACUCCUUCUCUCUGUGUGGAACCUGGGAUUCAAGUUGCGAGCGGGAAGCGCUCUAGCAGGGACUCUGGCCUUGUGAGAGUCCCUGUUUCCCCCCUUUCUUUCUUUACAUCCAAUAAAACCCUGUCUUACCAUUCAAA
Molecule: long non-coding RNA, 691 nt
Organism: Homo sapiens (human)
Lineage: Eukaryota; Metazoa; Chordata; Mammalia; Primates; Hominidae
Gene: ASMER2
Product: adipocyte associated metabolic related lncRNA 2
Exons: 2
Source: RefSeq, a predicted model, not a curated record